UUAUCUCUGUAGAGUCUGCAUAUCAAUAAGCGGAGGAAAAGAAACUAACUAGGAUUCCCUUAGUAACGGCGAGUGAAGCGGGAAGAGCUCAAAUUUGAAAUCUUCAAGGUUUUACCUUGACGAAUUGUAGUUUAAAGAAGUGUUUUCUGUUGAAGUUUCGGUAAAAGUUCUUUGGAAUAGGACAUCAUAGAGGGUGAGAAUCCCGUAUUUGACCAUUAUUUCAACUGUGUGAUACACUUCCAAAGAGUCGGAUUGUUUGGGAAUGCAGUCCAAAAUGGGUGGUAAAUUUCAUCUAAAGCUAAAUAUUGGCGAGAGACCGAUAGCGAACAAGUACCGUGAGGGAAAGAUGAAAAGAACUUUGAAAAGAGAGUUAAACAGUACGUGAAAUUGUCAAAAGGGAAGCGUUUGACACCAGUGUUGUUUUCUCGAAAAUCAAUUAAAAAUGGCUGGAUUUUGUGUUGUAUUGACCUUAUAAGCUUUCUGCACUUUUUUCAUGUCUUUUUUAAUGCACUUUUCGUUUAACAAGUCAACAUCAAUUUCUUUUGUUGUAAAAGGGUCAUUGGAAGGUGGCUUUCUUUUCGGAGAAAGUGUUUAUAGCCUUUGACUCCUGCAAUCGGAGAGACUGAGGUCUGCAGCGUAGAUCCUUCUUGGAUUAGAUUCAUUUGUGCUAAGUUAUAGCUUUUUAUAGACAACUUGUUGACUAUAUUUAGUCUUGUAGCUUACUCGCUUAUGCAAUUUUACCUACACUUAGGAUGUUGAACGCGCACAGAGUCUC
RNAcentral lists this ribosomal RNA (775 nucleotides) under uncultured Neocallimastigales. RNAcentral describes it as "partial large subunit ribosomal RNA". It matches the Rfam family "Eukaryotic large subunit ribosomal RNA", at positions 24 to 611 of the family's 3401-position model. Lineage: Eukaryota; Fungi; Neocallimastigomycota; Neocallimastigomycetes; Neocallimastigales. The record is from RNAcentral.